RNAcentral lists this transfer-messenger RNA (309 nucleotides) under Methylobacterium sp. CG08_land_8_20_14_0_20_71_15. Its description in RNAcentral is "partial transfer-messenger RNA". It matches the Rfam family "Alphaproteobacteria transfer-messenger RNA", at positions 1 to 280 of the family's 355-position model. From Rfam's summary of the family: Bacterial tmRNA, also known as 10Sa RNA or SsrA, is named for its dual tRNA and mRNA-like properties. Its role is to liberate the mRNA from a stalled ribosome. To accomplish this part of the tmRNA is used as a reading frame that ends in a translation stop signal. Lineage: Bacteria; Pseudomonadati; Pseudomonadota; Alphaproteobacteria; Hyphomicrobiales; Methylobacteriaceae. The record is from RNAcentral.
GGGCUUCAAAACCGACGCGAUCCCCCCUAUAUUCGAUCUCGCCGGCCGCAAGGUCGGCUAUGGCGAUAAACGGUCUUCGGAAUAAACCUAUCGGACCCGGGGGCGGUACCCGGCGCCUCCACCGGAACCCAGGGCUUUUGGACGCAUCGGCGGCGUUCGGAUCGUUGGGUUGCGGCGGGGGCGAAAUAGGAUCGACGAGGGCGUAAAGGUUGAUCUUUCGCUCGGCAUGGUUCCGCCGUUAUCGGGCCUUUGCAAUAGUUGCCAACGACAACUUUGCUCCGGUGGCGGUGGCCGCGUAAGCGGUCCCCA